This 263-nucleotide long non-coding RNA is filed under the name Nicotiana benthamiana. RNAcentral's name for it is "long non-coding RNA (NBEN_LNC011052)". Lineage: Eukaryota; Viridiplantae; Streptophyta; Magnoliopsida; Solanales; Solanaceae. The record is from RNAcentral.
GCAUGAAUUACCAUGGUACAUAUAUCUACGCUCGUCAUUUCGCGUAUACAUCACUCACGCAUGUAGCAAAUAAUGUCAUUUAUUAGUAAAAAAUUUAUCAACCAAAGUUAGGCAAGACACUUACUUUUUCCAACUAGUCUAAAACUCUAAAAUCACUUUUCCUUCAGAAAUAACCUCCAAUCGAUUCAAAUCUAACAAACACCAUCCAAGAAAGUCAUCAAUGCUAUAAUAAGCAAUCUCAAUCAAUAAGCUUCGAUCUUUGA